RNAcentral lists this long non-coding RNA (958 nucleotides) under Homo sapiens (human). RNAcentral describes it as "non-protein coding lnc-STX8-1:5". The record is from RNAcentral. Lineage: Eukaryota; Metazoa; Chordata; Mammalia; Primates; Hominidae.
GACUGGGAGUCUUCGUGGUCGGAUUCCCCACCCUUCCUUACCUCGUAAACCGACAGACCUGGGUUUCGCCGCUGCUCCUGUUCCUCGAGCAGCCUUCAAGCAGUGGAAAUUACGGAGAAAUGAACAUUCUGAAAGCGCCUAGUAAAUGGUAAAGGCCUGGCUACUGCAGGAAGAAAAGGGCAAGGCAGGCAUCUCCAGAGCACAGCCUCGGGCGUGGUGAGAGGCGCGCGCUGGGCGCUGUGUGGGGGUGGGGAGCGCUUUUGUGCACCGCUGGUUCCUCCGCAGGCUCAGGUGUGUGCGGACAGGUGUCGCCACCUCCUUCCAGACCGUCUGCCCCUUGGGGGGAGGCAGAGUCUGUGCCUGCACCCGCCAACCCGGGACCUGAACUGGGAGCCACGUGUUGCCCUGUGAAAAAAGCCCCCGAGUGGUUGUGGUUUGCUUUUUUACACCACAGAUUGGGUUAGAAUCAUUUUCCAAAAACUUGCAAGACUUGAUCACCCUUGCUUUAAUCGGCAAGGAAGGGGGCUCAGAGAGGUUAUCGCAACGUAGGGAGGCCGCCCGAUCCGUAAGCAGGGAAACCGGAACUCGACCUGGAUCUAUGGACUGCCAAGUUCAGGCCCUUUCCAGCCUCAGUAUUUGCUAACCAGGAAGUUUUCAGGCUCUCAGGCGCGCCCCCUACGCGGUUUCUGGUUCACUCCUUAACGCACGAUCCUUGUUGAAUGAUUGCCCAAUCAGAAUUAGUUUGGCCUUGCCCCGCCCUUGAUUCCCUGGGUAACCCUGGGCCCCUCCCCCACCCCUCACUUUAUCCCAUGCAACUGUCAGGUUUAUAAUUAAUCAGGCAAGGUCUUGCAAAAUGACUUUCUCGUCAAUUUCUAGCUCAGGAAGAGAUCAGCACCAUGUGAGAUGCAGUAUUCUAACGCUCUGAAAUGUUACUUGUUGUUUAAUAAGUGAUCAUCAU